AUUGAACGCUGGCGGCAGGCCUAACACAUGCAAGUCGAACGGUAACAGGAAGCAGCUUGCUGCUUUGCUGACGAGUGGCGGACGGGUGAGUAAUGUCUGGGAAACUGCCCGAUGGAGGGGGAUAACUACUGGAAACGGUAGCUAAUACCGCAUAACGUCGCAAGACCAAAGAGGGGGACCUUAGGGCCUCUUGCCAUCGGAUGUGCCCAGAUGGGAUUAGCUAGUAGGUGGGGUAACGGCUCACCUAGGCGACGAUCCCUAGCUGGUCUGAGAGGAUGACCAGCCACCCUGGAACUGGGACCCGGUCCAGACUCCUACGGGAGGCAGCAGGGGGGAAUUUUGCACAAUGGGCGAAAGCCUGAUGCAGCCAUGCCGGGGUUAUGAAGAAGGCCUUCGGGUUGUAAAGUACUUUCAGCGGGGAGGAAGGGAGUAAAGUUAAUACCUUUGCUCAUUGACGUUCCCCGCAGAAAAAGCCCCGGCUAACCCCGG
Molecule: ribosomal RNA, 489 nt
Filed under: uncultured bacterium
Lineage: Bacteria
Description: partial 16S ribosomal RNA
Rfam family: Bacterial small subunit ribosomal RNA
Source: RNAcentral